Molecule: non-coding RNA, 109 nt
Filed under: Chlorobaculum parvum
Lineage: Bacteria; Pseudomonadati; Chlorobiota; Chlorobiia; Chlorobiales; Chlorobiaceae
Also listed under: 1 other name
Description: SAM-I sequence
Rfam family: SAM riboswitch aptamer (S box leader)
About the family: The SAM riboswitch is found upstream of a number of genes which code for proteins involved in methionine or cysteine biosynthesis in Gram-positive bacteria. The SAM riboswitch acts at the level of transcription termination control. The predicted structure consists of a complex stem-loop region followed by a single stem loop terminator region.
Source: RNAcentral
CUAUCAUCCAGAAAGGCGGAGGGACUGGCCCUGCGAAGCCUUGGCAACCUUCAUAUCACCUAUGAGAGGUGCCAAAUCCAUCCCGGAGGAAUUCCGGGAAAGAUGAUGU